CCAUUUAACUGAUGUAAAAGGUUGAGAACUAUCAUAUUCAUUUUAUCUCGAUUUAAAACUAUUCCACAAGUUUAGAAGUGUUAUUACCAAUUCAUGCAAGGCAAGUUAAAAGCUGUUCCACAAGUGCAAAACUUGAACAGUGCAACAAGUUCAGAACUUUUACAUCCAAUUUAUGUAAGUUAAAAGCUGUUCCGCAGUGCCACCAUUCGCAGCAGUCAAACCGUGCAAUGGAAGUUCUAUUCACCAUGCAAUAGAACCUUCAUUGCACUGUGUGCUGCGUGCCGCGUGUGCGCCGUGCGUUGAGACAAAUAAUUCAAUGACAUGUGAUCAAUGAUCCACCAAUCAGAUGACAGGGAUUUAUUCAGGUGUUUUAUAAAGAGAGACAAUUAAUGGAGGUGGCAGUGACUAAUUAAUUACUUGUGUAAAUAAUUGUAAUUUAUUAGAUACUAUUAUGAAUAUUAUUAUUUGCAUUUGCAACUGUAUACCUUUUACCGACAUGAAAUAAAUGUUGAACAAUGAGAUUUAUAGUUAACAAGGGGUAAAUUAAGCUUCAAAAUCAAACAAGCCCAAUGAUAUGUCCCACAGUGACCAAAGAAUGGCCCAGCAGGGGUUGGUCACAAUAGUAAAGUUCCCCAUUCCUCAAUGCCCCAUGCGCACGUAAAAAAAACAAGGUAACACUCAUCGCUAAGAGAAGGAGUUUGCCCGGUGUUUUUGGCAGUGGCUGCUUAAUGCGUUGCAGCAGCUUGUGAACUUUUUUUUCUUGAAGAGGUAGAAGAAGACAAAAUCGACCGCGAGAAAAGGCAACACACGCGAACCGCAGAUAAAUUGUUUUUAUAUAUCUUGUAUGAUUUCCUGUAAAAUAUUGUGCAGGGAUGCUGAGCAAGAGCUUGCGACCAAUAUCCGCCGUCUGCAAAUUGAACAGUGAGCUUCUUAAAACUAACCAAAAGAUGGAGAGGCAGCUUGGCGACACCAGAGCCAACCUGGCUGCCUCCAGGCAAGAGUGCAGCGGCCUGAAGCAAUCCAUUGCACAGGUUCCAAUCUGAAGUCCAUCCAGAUGAUCCUUAAUAAGACAGCAGACGGUACAGGCAUAGACUCCAACACCCUGGCCUUACAGAUGAAGGGCCAUCCUGAGCUGAGGGACAAGCUUCAUGUCGUCACCUCUUGAGGGCCUUUGCCUGUCUACCCUGGGGUGGUCAACUCAGAAUUACCUGAGGAUCUCAAGACAUCUAUCACCAGGCAUCUUCUCAACAUGCAUCUCGACCCCAAAUGGCAAGCUCAACUGAACCAAUACAUGGUGUCCAAA
Long non-coding RNA from Patiria miniata (bat star), 1303 nucleotides. RefSeq lists it as uncharacterized. The record is from RefSeq and is a predicted model, not a curated record. Lineage: Eukaryota; Metazoa; Echinodermata; Asteroidea; Valvatida; Asterinidae. The transcript has 3 exons.